Molecule: ribosomal RNA, 772 nt
Filed under: uncultured Variovorax sp.
Lineage: Bacteria; Pseudomonadati; Pseudomonadota; Betaproteobacteria; Burkholderiales; Comamonadaceae
Description: partial 16S ribosomal RNA
Rfam family: Bacterial small subunit ribosomal RNA
Source: RNAcentral
CGAUGGGCCGACGUCGCAUGCUCCCGGCCGCCAUGGUUAGAGUUUGAUCAUGGCUCAGAUUGAACGCUGGCGGAAUGCCUUACACAUGCAAGUCGAACGGCAGCACGGGAGCAAUCCUGGUGGCGAGUGGCGAACGGGUGAGUAAUACAUCGGAACGUGCCCAAUCGUGGGGGAUAACGUAGCGAAAGCUACGCUAAUACCGCAUACGAUCUACGGAUGAAAGCAGGGGAUCGCAAGACCUUGCGCGAAUGGAGCGGCCGAUGGCAGAUUAGGUAGUUGGUGGGGUAAAGGCUCACCAAGCCUUCGAUCUGUAGCUGGUCUGAGAGGACGACCAGCCACACUGGGACUGAGACACGGCCCAGACUCCUACGGGAGGCAGCAGUGGGGAAUUUUGGACAAUGGGCGCAAGCCUGAUCCAGCAAUGCCGCGUGCAGGAAGAAGGCCUUCGGGUUGUAAACUGCUUUUGUACGGAACGAAACGGUCUGCUUUAAUACAGUGGGCUAAUGACGGUACCGUAAGAAUAAGCACCGGCUAACUACGUGCCAGCAGCCGCGGUAAUACGUAGGGUGCGAGCGUUAAUCGGAAUUACUGGGCGUAAAGCGUGCGCAGGCGGUUAUAUAAGACAGUUGUGAAAUCCCCGGGCUCACCCUGGGAAUUGCAUCUGUGACUGUAUAGCUAGAGUACGGUAGAGGGGGGUGGAUUUCCACGUGUAGCAGUGAAAUGCGUAAAGAUGUGGGAAGAACACCGAUGGGCGAAAGGCACCCCCCUGUGU